RNAcentral lists this ribosomal RNA (228 nucleotides) under uncultured bacterium. RNAcentral's name for it is "partial 16S ribosomal RNA". It matches the Rfam family "Bacterial small subunit ribosomal RNA", at positions 118 to 345 of the family's 1533-position model. The record is from RNAcentral.
UGAGGAACAUGACCUUCGGCGGGGGAUAGCCGGCCCAACGGCCGGGUAAUACCGCGUACGACCACAUGGGGACAUCCCUGAGUGGUGAAAGCAGCAAUGCGCCGAUGGAGUGCCUCGCGGCCUAUCAGCUAGUUGGUGAGGUAACGGCUCACCAAGGCGACGACGGAUAGCUGGUCUGAGAGGAUGGCCAGCCACAUUGGGACUGAGACACGGCCCAGAUCCUACGGG